CCCCUACGGGGCGCAGCAGUGGGGAAUAUUGCACAAUGGGGGAAACCCUGAUGCAGCGACGCCGCGUGAAGGAUGAAGUAUUUCGGUAUGUAAACUUCUAUCAGCAGGGAAGAAAAUGACGGUACCUGACUAAGAAGCCCCGGCUAACUACGUGCCAGCAGCCGCGGUAAUACGGAGGAUGCGAGCAUUAUCCGGAUUUAUUGGGUUUAAAGGGUGCGCAGGCGGCACGGCAAGCCGGCGGUCAAAUCGCGGGGCUCAACCCCGCCCAGCCGUCGGAACUGCCGGGCUAGAGUGGGCGAGAAGGG
RNAcentral lists this ribosomal RNA (305 nucleotides) under uncultured bacterium. RNAcentral's name for it is "bacterial SSU rRNA". It matches the Rfam family "Bacterial small subunit ribosomal RNA", at positions 336 to 659 of the family's 1533-position model. The record is from RNAcentral.